UUAACUCAUAUUUGUAUGGAAUGGGAGCGUUUGCCUACGUUUGCCGGUAGGGGCGCUGUUCCAACUGCAUACAAAGUUGAAUUA
RNAcentral lists this microRNA precursor (84 nucleotides) under Bombyx mori (domestic silkworm). Its description in RNAcentral is "mir-2807 microRNA precursor family". It matches the Rfam family "mir-2807 microRNA precursor family". Lineage: Eukaryota; Metazoa; Arthropoda; Insecta; Lepidoptera; Bombycidae. The record is from Rfam by way of RNAcentral.